UAUGUAAUAUGGUCCACGUCU
Molecule: microRNA, 21 nt
Filed under: Dasypus novemcinctus (nine-banded armadillo)
Lineage: Eukaryota; Metazoa; Chordata; Mammalia; Cingulata; Dasypodidae
Also listed under: 9 other names
Description: dno-miR-380-3p
Gene: dno-miR-380-3p
Source: miRBase by way of RNAcentral